This 446-nucleotide ribosomal RNA is filed under the name uncultured bacterium. RNAcentral describes it as "SSU rRNA". It matches the Rfam family "Bacterial small subunit ribosomal RNA", at positions 26 to 518 of the family's 1533-position model. The record is from RNAcentral.
AGAACGAACGCUGGCGGCAGGCUUAACACAUGCAAGUCGAACGCUCGUAGCAAUACGGGAGUGGCAGACGGGUGAGUAACGCGUGGGAACAUACCCUCCGGUUCGGAAUAGCUCAGGGAAACUUGGAUUAAUACCGGAUACGGCUGAGAGGCGAAAGAUUUAUCGCCGGAGGAUUGGCCCGCGUUCGAUUAGCUUGUUGGUGAGGUAACGGCUCACCAAGGCGAUGAUCGAUAGCUGGUCUGAGAGGAUGAUCAGCCACAUUGGGAUUGAGACACGGCCCAAACUCCUACGGGAGGCAGCAGUGGGGAAUAUUGGACAAUGGGCGCAAGCCUGAUCCAGCCAUGCCGCGUGAGUGAUGACGGCCUUAGGGUUGUAAAGCUCUUUCGCUCGGGACGAUAAUGACGGUACCGAGAUAAGAGCCCGGCUAACUUCGCGCCAGCAGCCGC